Molecule: long non-coding RNA, 974 nt
Organism: Magallana angulata
Lineage: Eukaryota; Metazoa; Mollusca; Bivalvia; Ostreida; Ostreidae
Exons: 2
Source: RefSeq, a predicted model, not a curated record
AAAGUUGAUUCAGUUUUGUAUAUACUGGUGUUUAUAUUUGUGUUCCUCUUUAAUUUUGUUGUGAAUGGGUUACCGUAUGUGAGUGACGAGUGUCGGGUGAGUGUGCUAUUUUUAGAUCGAGUAUUUAAAGUGACCGGUUUGGGUGUAGUGGUCAGUAGAGUGUCCGGUAACGACAUCAGCCGGGUGCCACGUUUUGCAGCUCCUGAUUUAAGAAAUUGGUGAAUAUCUCCAGUUAGUAUUAUACUGAGGAGAAACGGGUAACCAUUGAAUUCUGAAUUUGUUAGGCGGGCACGUGUUUUCCUAGCCGUGCGUAAGGGUGUUUGGUACAAUUUCCUGAAAUACAGACUGGUGUGCUAGACGGGAAUUUUCCUAUGGAAGGUCAUGUGGGCAACUGACGAAUGUCGGAGACGCAUUCUGUGCUGAGUGGGGCGUGGUUUUCUGUCCGGGCAGUGGUCGUAGACUGGAAGCGAGAGACCUGCGAGUCCGGGGCUUUCAGUUAGGAUAGCGACUAGAGGGGCAGGAAAUUUGACGAGGGUAGGAACGUCCUGGGUGCAUGGUGACCUUGAAGUGACCGAGUUCAUUUUCAGAGAGAGGUUUCAAGUGUUAAAAAGCGACUGUUAUUACAGGCUAAUUUUCAUAUACAUGAUUUUGAGCUGAAAUUUGAACUAAUUGUAAUAUCACGGUAUUUUGAAUAAUUGAACUUUAACAUUUUUUUAGUAAAUUUUUCAACAAGAGUUUUAUUGGUUGAAAUAGCUUCUAAACAACAUUUUGUAGUUUACUUCCAUUUUAUAUCUGAUACAGUGUGAUUUAAUCUUGAAUUCAGUUGAUAGUUUCAGAUAUUUGUUCAUUUGUUUAAUUGAAUUAUUAUUCUUUUUUUUUGUAAUGUUCGAAUGAGAGUGGCGUGAAAGGGGGAGUGAGAAUACUGAUUUGUUUUGUUUAUUAAUGUUUUUUUCAAAUUAAACUUGUUUAUUUUC